GACUUCUUAGCUCAGCCGGUAGAGCAACUGACUCUUAAUCAGUGGGUCCGGAGUUCGAUCCUCCGAGGGGUCACC
Molecule: transfer RNA, 75 nt
Filed under: Mucilaginibacter galii
Lineage: Bacteria; Pseudomonadati; Bacteroidota; Sphingobacteriia; Sphingobacteriales; Sphingobacteriaceae
Description: tRNA-Lys
Rfam family: tRNA
About the family: Transfer RNA (tRNA) molecules are approximately 80 nucleotides in length. Their secondary structure includes four short double-helical elements and three loops (D, anti-codon, and T loops).
Source: RNAcentral